RNAcentral lists this ribosomal RNA (1432 nucleotides) under Campylobacter jejuni. RNAcentral's name for it is "partial 23S ribosomal RNA". It matches the Rfam family "Bacterial large subunit ribosomal RNA", at positions 1 to 1303 of the family's 2925-position model. Lineage: Bacteria; Pseudomonadati; Campylobacterota; Epsilonproteobacteria; Campylobacterales; Campylobacteraceae. The record is from RNAcentral.
AAAAAAGGUAAGCUACUAAGAGCGAAUGGUGGAUGCCUUGACUGGUAAAGGCGAUGAAGGACGUACUAGACUGCGAUAAGCUACGGGGAGCUGUCAAGAAGCUUUGAUCCGUAGAUUUCCGAAUGGGGCAACCCAAUGUAUAGAGAUAUACAUUACCUAUAUAGGAGCGAACGAGGGGAAUUGAAACAUCUUAGUACCCUCAGGAAAAGAAAUCAAUAGAGAUUGCGUCAGUAGCGGCGAGCGAAAGCGCAAGAGGGCAAACCCAGUGCUUGCACUGGGGGUUGUAGGACUGCAAUGUGCAAGAGGUAAGUUUAGCAGAACAUUCUGGAAAGUAUAACCAUAGAGGGUGAUAGUCCCGUAUGCGAAAAACAAACCUUAGCUAGCAGUAUCCUGAGUAGGGCGGGACACGAGGAAUCCUGUCUGAAUCCGGGUCGACCACGAUCCAACCCUAAAUACUAAUACCAGAUCGAUAGUGCACAAGUACCGUGAGGGAAAGGUGAAAAGAACUGAGGUGAUCAGAGUGAAAUAGAACCUGAAACCAUUUGCUUACAAUCAUUCAGAGCCCUAUGUAGCAAUACAGGGUGAUGGACUGCCUUUUGCAUAAUGAGCCUGCGAGUUGUGGUGUCUGGCAAGGUUAAGCAAACGCGAAGCCGUAGCGAAAGCGAGUCUGAAUAGGGCGCUUAGUCAGAUGCUGCAGACCCGAAACGAAGUGAUCUAUCCAUGAGCAAGUUGAAGCUAGUGUAAGAACUAGUGGAGGACUGAACCCAUAGGCGUUGAAAAGCCCCGGGAUGACUUGUGGAUAGGGGUGAAAGGCCAAUCAAACUUCGUGAUAGCUGGUUCUCUCCGAAAUAUAUUUAGGUAUAGCGUUGUGUCGUAAUAUAAGGGGGUAGAGCACUGAAUGGGCUAGGGCAUACACCAAUGUACCAAACCCUAUCAAACUCCGAAUACCUUAUAUGUAAUCACAGCAGUCAGGCGGCGAGUGAUAAAAUCCGUCGUCAAGAGGGAAACAACCCAGACUACCAGCUAAGGUCCCUAAAUCUUACUUAAGUGGAAAACGAUGUGAAGUUACUUAAACAACCAGGAGGUUGGCUUAGAAGCAGCCAUCCUUUAAAGAAAGCGUAAUAGCUCACUGGUCUAGUGAUUUUGCGCGGAAAAUAUAACGGGGCUAAAGUAAGUACCGAAGCUGUAGACUUGCACACAACUUAGAUUAUUUAAGUUUAGAAUAUGAGAAACUAAGUUAUAUGUUUAGUUAUAUUUUUACUGAUUUUUAUAGAGUAAAGAUAGAAAUAAAACUUAGUAAAAUCAGUAAAAAUAUUCUUAGACUAAAGUUAAGUAGUUUAAGUUGUGUGCAAGUGGUAGGAGAGCGUUCUAUUUGCGUCGAAGGUAUACCGGUAAGGAGUGCUGGAGCGAAUAGAAGUGAGCAUGCAGGCAU